RNAcentral lists this ribosomal RNA (564 nucleotides) under uncultured bacterium. RNAcentral's name for it is "bacterial SSU rRNA". It matches the Rfam family "Bacterial small subunit ribosomal RNA", at positions 272 to 828 of the family's 1533-position model. The record is from RNAcentral.
GGCAAUGAUGCGUAGCCGAACUGAGAGGUUGAUCGGCCACAUUGGGACUGAGACACGGCCCAAACUCCUACGGGAGGCAGCAGUAGGGAAUCUUCCACAAUGGGCGAAAGCCUGAUGGAGCAACGCCGCGUGGGUGAAGAAGGUCUUCGGAUCGUAAAACCCUGUUGUUAGAGAAGAAAGUGCGUGAGAGUAACUGUUCACGUUUCGACGGUAUCUAACCAGAAAGCCACGGCUAACUACGUGCCAGCAGCCGCGGUAAUACGUAGGUGGCAAGCGUUAUCCGGAUUUAUUGGGCGUAAAGGGAACGCAGGCGGUCUUUUAAGUCUGAUGUGAAAGCCUUCGGCUUAACCGGAGUAGUGCAUUGGAAACUGGGAGACUUGAGUGCAGAAGAGGAGAGUGGAACUCCAUGUGUAGCGGUGAAAUGCGUAGAUAUAUGGAAGAACACCAGUGGCGAAAGCGGCUCUCUGGUCUGUAACUGACGCUGAGGUUCGAAAGCGUGGGUAGCAAACAGGACUAGAUACCCUGGUAGUCCACGCCGUAAACGAUGAAUGCUAAGUGUUGGAG